CUCUGACUCACACUCCUGCACAGUAGGUGGCGGUAAUUCACCUUAAGUUGGUUGCCACCCGCCAUUUAACCGGAAAGGAAGAAGAAGAAGGUGACUGGAAGCUUCUAGAAAUAGUGUGUUCGCUACUGAAGGAGGAGCCGUUAGAAGUAGACCUCGAUUUGUUUUUUGAGGAAACCCUUUGGCUUGUUGAUUGAGGUUUAAAUCACCUUUUCCUGCCUGGAAAGCCAACACAUUUAAAGACUCAGAUGCACUGCUUUGGUCCACUGGAGAGGUAUUAAUACUCAUGGGUGCCACAUCCAUGGCAGGAUGUCUUCAUCAUAUCCUGUCUCAUCAAAGAUGUGGUAGGAUCAUUUAAGACCUCUACACGAUUCAAAGGACUAAGGUUUUUUUUCCCUUCCUGAGUGAGGGUUUGGACAGUUUUUUUUGGCAACUUUCCAACAUUUUAGUGGACUGAAUUAUCAAUUUGCCCAAAAGCAAGAAGAAUGUGUGACAUAGUCCUGAACACUUUGUUAAAGGACAAUUGGUUUUCUUUCUUUCUUUCUUUAUUUAUUUUCUAUUUAUUGAUUGUUCAAUUUUUAUCGUUCCUCUAAGAGCCCUCUAGGAGAGGGAAUUUAGCAUUUAUUUCCUUUAUGAUGAAUAUUACAAACUGUUACAUACUUCAAUAUAUUUAAUUUAUUGAAUUGAUUGUUGUGUGUGUGGUUUGUGGGUUGGAGGUUUCAAACUUCAGGUAAUGAGAUACUACUGCUAAGAACCCAGAAAUGGAGUUCAAAGGAACAAAAAGCAAGAAACCUUAGUAAAUAAGACACAUUUGAUCCUGUAGCUCCCACAACACUUCAACCUUGAAGAAGUAUUCCACGCUGAUAUAUUUGAAUACACAUACUCAGUUUUUCAGGGAGCCACAGGUUACAAAAGGAAGACUAAUUAACAAGUGGGGAAGGACACAAACACUAAAGGAAACUAAAAAUGAAAAGCUGAACCUAUAGAAAAUAAAACUACCUGGUUACUCCACAUAUGUAUUUCAUGAGCAUGUUUUAACUCAGAAUUACCACUGAAGGACUUAGUUGUUUGUCCUUUUAUCAAACCUAUUUCGAGCCUGAGAGGGUUAAAAGAUGAAAUCUUAAAUAAACCAGGUGGAUAUUUACUAAUUAAUUAUUUAGAUGUCAUGAAGUUUUCAGAUUUAAUGACGUCACUGACUUUAUUAAAGUUACAGCUGGAAAAGAAAUAUCAGCAGCUCGAACAUUUAAAGGUAACCCCCAAAUUCCACUACCUCCGCUCCGCUCCGACACGAACGCCGGAGCAAAAUCAGUCCCGUUGUAGUCAAUCAGAGCAAUUCCACUACUGCGGCCGUGCUCCGGCAGUGCGGCGCCGUGCGCCACCCUCUGUUCCGGCAUCCGGCAAAAAUAGAAUCAAUCCUAUUUUUGCCGGACGCCGGAGCACCUCUGCAGUAAAUGGACAGAAAUCACAACCACCCAACAGGAAAAGGAGCAAGCACAACUUCCGUUUUUCACAAUAAAUCAAUAAACAAAAGGCGUUUUUUGUUUCAUAUGCACAGGUUUAACAACUUUUAACAACUAUCAAUGGCGGCUGAAGUUUAAAUGCACAAAAGUAAGCCAUAAAUACAGUUUCUACUAUCAAAGUAGUCACACUUUGUUGAUCCACACACUGCUGAUCUGUCAACACAAAUGAUGGGCAGAUUAAACCGUUCUUGCCGAUGUUUCUCCCACAACGGGUGUUUGGAUCUAACUUCCGCGUUUAUUGCUCGGACUCUAUCGCAAGAUCUCGAAAGUCCCGCGCAUGCUUGUUUGCCCCCCUCAGGUCUCCGCACCGGAGCGGAGCCGUUGUUGAGCGGGUAUAGUAAAAAUUGAGUUCGGAAGCGAGUGGCUGCGGAAGGCGGGGGCGGACCGGAGUGGAGCGGAGCGGAGGUAGUGGAAUUUAGGGGUAAGUCUUCAUUCAAAGCAUGAGGAAAUUGAAAAAGUCAGAGUUAAAGUGAGUUCAAUACUGUGUAAAGUUACUGGAAAUGCACAGUGUUACGUCCCCGACAUGAGAUGUUAAAAGUGUGAAGGAUGGGGAGAACAUAAGAACUGGCGGCGGAGUUUAAAAUGGGUUUAUUUGUACAAAAGGUAUUAAAAAACGAGCAAAACUGAUUUCUCAAAAAGGUUAACAGUACAAAGCAAAUCAUCAACUAUAAAACACCUGGUAAAAACUUUUAAUAAAAGUUUUACCGCAACGAAGGUGUUUAAAAUCCUGAAGUUGAUAAAAGUCUAAAAACAUUCUACUGACUAAAACACCUGGUAAAAACUUAUAUUAAAAGCUUUACCACAACGGAAGGCGUUUAAAACCGAGGUCAGUAAAAUAGCCACAGACAAAGUUGACCUUAAAACCCAAACACACAAAAGAUCCCACUGGAUCAUCCUCAGUUUCUCAUUAAGAGUUAAA
Molecule: non-coding RNA, 2436 nt
Organism: Nothobranchius furzeri (turquoise killifish)
Lineage: Eukaryota; Metazoa; Chordata; Actinopteri; Cyprinodontiformes; Nothobranchiidae
Source: RefSeq, a predicted model, not a curated record